UAUAUUUUCAGAAUUUGGUGAGUAUAUCUGUUAAUUCUUUUUAUCACUAAAACUAAAUAAAAUACACAGCCAAAUGUAAUAUCUUUACAGUAUCAUUCUGUUGUAGCCUAAUACACAGAUUUUAUGGCUUAAUUGUAAAAUUUGUAGGUCAUAAUUGGGGGAGUGAACAUGACCCGGACACUGAUAACUGCGCCCCCUCCACUUCAGACGGUGGCCGCUUUAUCACGUAUCCUUCCGCCGUCUCUGGAUACGAAAAAAAUAAUCAGCUCUUUUCGCCAUGUAGUAAACAGUACAUUUACAAAGUUGUAAUGAUGAAAGGAUAUGACUGCUUUAAAGAGGCAUCAGACUCAGGACAGGGCUUAUGUGGUAAUGGCCGUCUGGACAAGAAUGAAGAAUGUGAUGCUGGCUACACACAC
Molecule: long non-coding RNA, 416 nt
Organism: Magallana angulata
Lineage: Eukaryota; Metazoa; Mollusca; Bivalvia; Ostreida; Ostreidae
Exons: 3
Source: RefSeq, a predicted model, not a curated record